This 245-nucleotide ribosomal RNA is filed under the name uncultured Bacteroidales bacterium. RNAcentral describes it as "partial 16S ribosomal RNA". It matches the Rfam family "Bacterial small subunit ribosomal RNA", at positions 90 to 334 of the family's 1533-position model. The record is from RNAcentral. Lineage: Bacteria; Pseudomonadati; Bacteroidota; Bacteroidia; Bacteroidales.
GGCGACCGGCGCACGGGUGAGUAACGCGUAUGCAACCUACCUACUACAGGGGAAUAACCCGGAGAAAUUCGGACUAAUACCGCAUAAUACAGGGGUCCCGCAUGGGAAUAUUUGUUAAAGAUUUAUCGGUAGUAGAUGGGCAUGCGUUCCAUUAGCCAGUUGGUGAGGUAACGGCUCACCAAAGCAACGAUGGAUAGGGGAACUGAGAGGUUUAUCCCCCACACUGGAACUGAGACACGGACCAG